AGAGAAAGUGUUGGAAUUCAAAGAUUUGAUCAAGCAAAGGUGGUGAAUAAAUUACACUGGUAAAAGUACAGAGAUUGUGCUUAGAGACUGGGAUUAAGAGGACAUCGACUCCUAGAACUGCUCAGGGAUUCCAUAGUUAGCUGACUUUGACAAGGACCUUCAUUUGGACUUGAAUCGGCAAAAGCUAUAGGCUUUCAGCUUUCGAUGCAUUUUGGUUAGAUGUGGG
This is a non-coding RNA of Theobroma cacao (cacao), 226 nucleotides long. Lineage: Eukaryota; Viridiplantae; Streptophyta; Magnoliopsida; Malvales; Malvaceae. The record is from RefSeq and is a predicted model, not a curated record.